UACAGAGGGUGCUAGCGUUGUUCGGAAUCAUUGGGCGUAAAGGGUGCGUAGGUGGCUUGGUAAGUUUGAUGUGAAAGCUCAGGGCUCAACCCUGAAAUGGCAUUGAAUAUUACUGAGCUGGAGGUUUGGAGGGGGGACUGGAAUUCUCGGUGUAGCAGUGAAAUGCGUAGAUAUCGAGAGGAACACCAGUGGCGAAGGCGAGUCCCUGGACAACACCUGACACUGAGGCACGAAAGCUAGGGGAGCAAACAGG
This 253-nucleotide ribosomal RNA is filed under the name uncultured bacterium. RNAcentral's name for it is "partial 16S ribosomal RNA". It matches the Rfam family "Bacterial small subunit ribosomal RNA", at positions 524 to 776 of the family's 1533-position model. The record is from RNAcentral.